UCAGUCGGUAGAGCAGGGGAUUGAAAAUCCCCGUGUCGGUGGUUCGAUUCCGCCUCGCGGCACCA
RNAcentral lists this transfer RNA (65 nucleotides) under Caudoviricetes sp. RNAcentral's name for it is "tRNA-OTHER". It matches the Rfam family "tRNA", at positions 12 to 71 of the family's 71-position model. From Rfam's summary of the family: Transfer RNA (tRNA) molecules are approximately 80 nucleotides in length. Their secondary structure includes four short double-helical elements and three loops (D, anti-codon, and T loops). The record is from RNAcentral. Lineage: Duplodnaviria; Heunggongvirae; Uroviricota; Caudoviricetes.